GGUCAAGGAUGGACUCGCGGCCUAUCAGCUUGUUGGUGAGGUAACGGCUCACCAAGGCGACGACGGGUAGCCGGCCUGAGAGGGUGACCGGCCACACUGGGACUGAGACACGGCCCAGACUCCUACGGGAGGCAGCAGUGGGGAAUAUUGCACAAUGGGCGAAAGCCUGAUGCAGCAACGCCGCGUGAGGGACGACGGCCUUCGGGUUGUAAACCUCUUUUAGCAGGGAAGAAGCGAAAGUGACGGUACCUGCAGAAAAAGCACCGGCUAACUACGUGCCAGCAGCCGCGGUAAUACGUAGGGUGCAAGCGUUGUCCGGAAUUAUUGGGCGUAAAGAGCUCGUAGGCGGUUUGUCGCGUCUGCUGUGAAAUCCCGAGGCUCAACCUCGGGUCUGCAGUGGGUACGGGCAGACUAGAGUGCGGUAGGGGAGAUUGGAAUUCCUGGUGUAGCGGUGGAAUGCGCAGAUAUCAGGAGGAACACCGAUGGCGAAGGCAGAUCUCUGGGCCGCUACUGACGCUGAGGAGCGAAAGGGUGGGGAGCAAACAGGCUUAGAUACCCUGGUAGUCCACCCCGUAAACGUUGGGCGCUAGAUGUGGGGACCAUUCCACGGUUUCCGUGUCGUAGC
This 625-nucleotide ribosomal RNA is filed under the name Mycetocola sp. Its description in RNAcentral is "bacterial SSU rRNA". It matches the Rfam family "Bacterial small subunit ribosomal RNA", at positions 217 to 852 of the family's 1533-position model. The record is from RNAcentral. Lineage: Bacteria; Bacillati; Actinomycetota; Actinomycetes; Micrococcales; Microbacteriaceae.